UGUGAAUUGCAGAAUUCAGUGAAUCAUCGAAUCUUUGAACGCAUCUUGCGCUCCUUGGUAUUCUGAGGAGCAUGCCUGUUUGAGUGUCAUUUUA
This 94-nucleotide ribosomal RNA is filed under the name Inosperma calamistratum. RNAcentral describes it as "partial 5.8S ribosomal RNA". It matches the Rfam family "5.8S ribosomal RNA", at positions 66 to 154 of the family's 154-position model. Rfam says of the family: 5.8S ribosomal RNA (5.8S rRNA) is a component of the large subunit of the eukaryotic ribosome. It is transcribed by RNA polymerase I as part of the 45S precursor that also contains 18S and 28S rRNA. Lineage: Eukaryota; Fungi; Basidiomycota; Agaricomycetes; Agaricales; Inocybaceae. The record is from RNAcentral.